AUAAUCCUCAAUCAAAUAAUUACUUUGGUCAAGGAUCUUUGAUAAAUGGUACUGUAUAUUACUCAAAUCCUGAUCUGGAAGACUACUCGUCAGAUGAUUCAUUUGAUAGCAAUCAGAAAGAU
RNAcentral lists this non-coding RNA (122 nucleotides) under Chattonella subsalsa. Lineage: Eukaryota; Raphidophyceae; Chattonellales; Chattonellaceae. The record is from RNAcentral.